RNAcentral lists this ribosomal RNA (1440 nucleotides) under bacterium. RNAcentral's name for it is "bacterial SSU rRNA". It matches the Rfam family "Bacterial small subunit ribosomal RNA". The record is from RNAcentral.
ACCAUUGCGGCAGCUACACAUGCAGUCGAGCGGUAGCACAGAGAGCUUGCUCUCGGGUGACGAGCGGCGGACGGGUGAGUAAUGUCUGGGAAACUGCCUGAUGGAGGGGGAUAACUACUGGAAACGGUAGCUAAUACCGCAUAACGUCGCAAGACCAAAGUGGGGGACCUUCGGGCCUCAUGCCAUCAGAUGUGCCCAGAUGGGAUUAGCUGGUAGGUGGGGUAACGGCUCACCUAGGCGACGAUCCCUAGCUGGUCUGAGAGGAUGACCAGCCACACUGGAACUGAGACACGGUCCAGACUCCUACGGGAGGCAGCAGUGGGGAAUAUUGCACAAUGGGCGCAAGCCUGAUGCAGCCAUGCCGCGUGUGUGAAGAAGGCCUUCGGGUUGUAAAGCACUUUCAGCGGGGAGGAAGGCGGUGAGGUUAAUAACCUCAUCGAUUGACGUUACCCGCAGAAGAAGCACCGGCUAACUCCGUGCCAGCAGCCGCGGUAAUACGGAGGGUGCAAGCGUUAAUCGGAAUUACUGGGCGUAAAGCGCACGCAGGCGGUCUGUCAAGUCGGAUGUGAAAUCCCCGGGCUCAACCUGGGAACUGCAUUCGAAACUGGCAGGCUAGAGUCUUGUAGAGGGGGGUAGAAUUCCAGGUGUAGCGGUGAAAUGCGUAGAGAUCUGGAGGAAUACCGGUGGCGAAGGCGGCCCCCUGGACAAAGACUGACGCUCAGGUGCGAAAGCGUGGGGAGCAAACAGGAUUAGAUACCCUGGUAGUCCACGCUGUAAACGAUGUCGAUUUGGAGGUUGUGCCCUUGAGGCGUGGCUUCCGGAGCUAACGCGUUAAAUCGACCGCCUGGGGAGUACGGCCGCAAGGUUAAAACUCAAAUGAAUUGACGGGGGCCCGCACAAGCGGUGGAGCAUGUGGUUUAAUUCGAUGCAACGCGAAGAACCUUACCUGGUCUUGACAUCCACAGAACUUUCCAGAGAUGGAUUGGUGCCUUCGGGAACUGUGAGACAGGUGCUGCAUGGCUGUCGUCAGCUCGUGUUGUGAAAUGUUGGGUUAAGUCCCGCAACGAGCGCAACCCUUAUCCUUUGUUGCCAGCGGUUAGGCCGGGAACUCAAAGGAGACUGCCAGUGAUAAACUGGAGGAAGGUGGGGAUGACGUCAAGUCAUCAUGGCCCUUACGACCAGGGCUACACACGUGCUACAAUGGCAUAUACAAAGAGAAGCGACCUCGCGAGAGCAAGCGGACCUCAUAAAGUAUGUCGUAGUCCGGAUUGGAGUCUGCAACUCGACUCCAUGAAGUCGGAAUCGCUAGUAAUCGUAGAUCAGAAUGCUACGGUGAAUACGUUCCCGGGCCUUGUACACACCGCCCGUCACACCAUGGGAGUGGGUUGCAAAAGAAGUAGGUAGCUUAACCUUCGGGAGGGCGCUACCACUUGGAUACGG